RNAcentral lists this ribosomal RNA (518 nucleotides) under uncultured bacterium. RNAcentral describes it as "bacterial SSU rRNA". It matches the Rfam family "Bacterial small subunit ribosomal RNA", at positions 32 to 524 of the family's 1533-position model. The record is from RNAcentral.
AAUCAACGCUGGCGGCGUGCCUCAGACAUGCAAGUCGAACGCGAAAGUCCCCUUCGGGGGACAAGUAGAGUGGCGCACGGGUGAGUAACACGUAGGUAAUCUACCUUCGGAUGGGGAAUAACAACCGGAAACGGUUGCUAAUACCGCAUAAUGCAGCGGCACCUAAUGGUGACAGUUGUUAAAGCGGGGGAUCGAAAGCCUCGCGUCUGAAGAGGAGCCUGCGGCGGAUUAGCUAGNGGUAAGGUAAUGGCUUACCAAGGCGACGAUCCGUAGCCGGCCUGAGAGGGCGGUCGGCCACACUGACACUGACAUACGGGUCAGACUCCUACGGGAGGCAGCAGUCGGGAAUUUUGGGCAAUGGGCGAAAGCCUGACCCAGCAACGCCGCGUGAAGGAUGAAAUCCCUCGGGAUGUAAACUUCGCAAGAACGGGAAGAAUAAGUAGGGGACAAUACCCCCUAUGAUGACGGUACCGUUUGUAAGCUCCGGCUAACUCCGUGCCAGCAGCCGCCGCGGUAAU